Molecule: long non-coding RNA, 10486 nt
Filed under: Nicotiana benthamiana
Lineage: Eukaryota; Viridiplantae; Streptophyta; Magnoliopsida; Solanales; Solanaceae
Description: long non-coding RNA (NBEN_LNC024855)
Source: RNAcentral
UCACCAAUUCUUCGGGAUAAGGACACUCCGCUACGCAUGAUCGGCAUUGUCCGCUAUAGAGCCACCUACAUUCAUUUUAAAAUCUAGCGCCCCCGGCAAAAGGGAUGUUAGUACCAUGGAAUAGUACUAGUAUGUAUAACUAAACACCAUCUAAUUAGAAAGAACUUUCAUGUAAGAAAUAGGAAAUCACAAGUAUAACUCAAAAGCUUUAAACUAUCACGACACUAUCAAAUGAGGAAAUCAUACAACUUCCACACCAUUUUCCGUAGUUUUUAGUGGAGCAUUUCAUAUUAUUCAUCAUUUCUCACAAUACCACUGCUAUCUUGAGUGGAGUCCGAUCUCGACCCGAUCAGCUAGGUUGCCUUAUUUGAGGCAUACACUUCAAUCACAAUCUCAUUUUCCUUUUUUCUAGAAUUAAUUCACAAUACCACCGCUAUCUUGAGUAAAUUCUAAUCUCGGCUCGAUCGGCGAUGCCGCCUUGCCAAGGCAUUGUUCUCUCAUUAAUCAUUUUGUUACACAAAUAAAGUUCCCUAGGCACUUGGGGCCACAACUUAUCACAUCAUUCUUGGCACUAGGUCGCAUUUUACAUUAUUCAUGAUUUCAAUAUUAGCUUUACUAUUUAGGACAGUAUGGGCACACAAGAGCAACUUACAUUGUAAUCAUGGACAAGAAUUCACAAAGAUGGCACAACAUAUUCAGCUUCAAUAUCGAUUUAAGGUCUAAAUAUCUCAAUACAUAAUUCAUACCUUUUUCCCUUUCAAAGUGUAAAGAUAGCACGUUGAUCAUGUUGAAACACAUAUUUCACACAUAUAAGGUUAUGACACCAACUCAUGUUGGAUAACAAGCAAGGCAACAAUUCAACUUUAAUCUUACCAUGUUCACACAAUCACUGGUGAAGCUCAAUUUCUAAAAGACGAGGUCUUAGCCAUACAUACCUCAAUAUAGCUUUCCUUAAUCCUUACAAAAUUUUAAAACUCUUAGCACUUUGAUCUAUUGUGUAAGAAUUACAAAUUGAAUUGAGAAUUAGAGACGAGAUUGAGAUUCUAGCUUGUUUGAGCAUAUUAUCAAACACCAAAAGGUGCAUUGUGAUCUUAGAUCCUUUUUUGAGAGAAAUUUCUACCACUUUAUAUCCCAAUUGCUUUAUUUUUAAUACACAUCCUCCAUAUGUCCCACUAUCUCCUAUGCAUGCAAAACUAUUAGCCUUAUACCCAUGUACCCAUUAGCUAAUUACACGUUUUAACAGAAAUUUUAAAAUUAUUGAGGAUGGUAUAGUUCUAACCUCUUAGGUUGAAGACAUAGUAGCUACAAUUGACAAUCUUCAAGGAUUUGGGGAGAUGAUUUAGAGAAGACUUGAUGGAUAUUCCUCAUCCUCACUCUAGAACUCCCUCCCUCCCUCCAUCUCUCUCUCUCUCUUUAUCUAUCUCUCUCUCUAGGUCGUGAAAAAUAACAAAAAAUGGUCUGUUGGUGUGUUUUUAAUGGGAUGGGGUCGGACUUUAAAAAUUAGAAAACAUGAGCUCCGAGUCGGAUCUGCAAUCGCAAAGUUGACAUGCGGCCCGUAUAAUGGACCGUGAAAAUGCUCCCAAAACCUGAACACACUGUCUGGAUAUGCAGCAGAAAUGCAUUCCUCAUACCCGUUCUGCGGUCACAUAAUGCACCGUAGAACUGCUCAAUGGAAUUGUGCGACAAAUAUGCGGUCCACAUAUCCGCUAUGCAUAUUUGACCGCGUAUUUGACCAACACACUGACUCACUUUGUGGUGACUAUGCAGUACGCAUACCUGAUAUGCGACCGCAUUCUCGAUCGCAAAAUUGCACUUUUCUGGAGAAGAUUAAUUCUUGACUUCUUAAUGUAGUGAUCAACUCAAACGGUCCAAAUCGCGGCUUGCAAGCUUGCCGUAAAUAAAUUUUAUGAAUUUUUAACACCUAACCCUAACUUGGCACUACGAGACUCAGGUUUUGAGUGAAAAUUUUUACGGGGCCUCAUAUCCUCCCCCACUUAAGAUCAUUCAUCCUAGAAUGAGGAUAAAGGCUCACUUACUAGGAAUGAUUAUGAAACCUCAGCUUUUCACAAAAUGAAACAUAUCCACAGCCCUAAAUUUUGUUAACUCUCUAAAUUUCCAGAAAUUUCGCUAGAGUUUCCUUUUUAUUUAAGUCUAUCCACCUGUCAAAGAGCCCCGGAAACAUAUCUUAACUUUAUAAACAUAUUUCAUGGAUAUAAUAUAACUUUUACAACUCUAAAACCUGACCCCAACUUGGAACUACGAGACUCGAGCUUUGUGUGUAAAUUCUCACGGGGCCUCACAUUAUGCUGCAAGGAGAGUUCGUGAUAGUGGAUUUCAUGGAAAGUAAAAAGGUUCUUCAUAGAGUUUCUCCUAUUAAAGCUGUGAUAAGGUUUGGAAAGAAUAGUAGAUUGAGCCUCGAGUAUAUUAGUCCAUUUGGGGUUUUAAAUAGAGUUGAUGAGGUGGCUUGUAGUCUUGCUUUUGCAUACAGCUUGUCGAGAAUUCAUCUGGUAUUCUAUAUUUCUAUGCUUUAAAAGUAUUAUGAGGCAAGUCACAUAUGUUAGAUAUCAGUACAAUGUAAUUGGAUGAGAAUCUGGAUUAUGAGGAAUAGUUUAUGACUGUUUUGGAUAGGCGGGUUCAAAAUUAGCUUAGAUCAAAAGGGAUUGCAUCAGUGGAAAGGUCAACCGAUCGAGGAAGUGACUUUGGAGAUUGAGCAUGAUAUGUGAAAAUAUUUCUUCAUAUUUUUGGCAUUUUAGGUAUAAUUCUAAACCCGUUCGAGGAUGAAAGUUUAUUUAAAAGGGGUAGAAUAUAACAACACGGCCGGUUAUUUUGUGUAUUAGAGCCUCGCUCCUCUAUUUGAUGAUUCCCAUUGUUUUUAUAUUUUAUGAAAUAUAGGGAUGGUUGUCUUGGUUUCUAGAAGGUAGGAGUGUAUUGGAACAUUUAGUUCUAUUUUCAGAAGCUUACGUUAUAAUAGUUGACCAAGUUUUGACUUUUGAGUAAUCAGAUUAGUAAUUUGAUGGUUCCAAUAGGUUUAUAUGGUGAUUUUGUACUUGAGAAUAUGUUAGGAUUUAAAUUUUGAGAUUCCUAGAAGAUUUUGAUUUUAUUUUUUGAAAAGUUGGUUGAAAGGUUGAGUUUGACUGGGAGUUAAUUUUAUUGGACUCCAGUUAUGGUUUUGUUACCUUAGAUUUGUCCUAAUGAUUUAAUGGAACUUGUGAGAAAAGUUUGAUUGUAAUAUGAAUUGUCUAAGUGUGAUUCAGAUGCUUUCAACAAAGUUGGGAUAUUUGAAAGUUAAGAGAUAGAUUUGAUAUUGAAUUCUUGAUUUGGUUAUUGUGUUUUAUGUUUUGAGCGUUGAGAUAAGUUCAGAUUAGGUAUAAGGUCUUCUUGGUAUGAUUGAAUAGGGUUCAAGGGGAGGGGGAUCGAAUGUGAUUCAGAGUAGUUUCAGAUCAUUUUCUUAUGUUUUGAAGUUGUUGGUGUGCUAGUGCAGGGUAGUGCUUCAUGAUCGUGGAGUUGAGUCUCGCAAUCAUGGACAAGGGGGUCCAGCGUGCGAGUUCUUAUGCAUUGUUUUAUUCAUGCAGGUGGUCAUGAUCGUGGAGAGAUGUGGAGUUGGGCUUUAUGAUCGUAUGAAUUGACCGCGAUCACGAAAGGAACAGUCUGGCUGGGAGUUUUGAUCGAUGCAUUCGCAAAGAGGUGUACUGGUUGUCUUUCAUGAUCGUGGGGCUUCAGUUGCGAUCCCAUAUGUGUUAUAUUCAAGCUGCGAAUUUUGCGCUUCACAAUCGCAAAGAGUAUCCUUUGACAUAUUAUUUUAAUAUGUGAAUUUCAGGAUAUUUUUUGUUCUUAAUAUUUUGAACCCUAGACUUGGAUUUUAAGGAGAUUUUUCAUACAAUGAAAGAGAGUAAGUAAUUUCUUCUCAUUUGUGACUAUAUUUCAAGAAUCUACGGAGGUUUCUAACUCUUAAAUAUGGUAUAAAGUAUAGAAAUUGAGAUUUUUGGUACUAACUUAAGAGAAUGACUUUGGAGGUUUGAUUACGAAAUUUUUAUCCCGAUUUGGAAUUUAAUCAUAUAUUUAGAGCUAUAAUUAAUUUUGCAUUUAUGGCUCGGGGCCCGAGAUUAACUUUUGUUGAGUUUUUUAUUUUGGUUAAGGAUUGGUUCAUUAUUUAUGGAAUCAAUUCCUGAAGCUUGUAUUGACUCAUUUAAGUACUAUUUGACUAUAUUCAAGUUGUCUGGAUUUAAAUUUAAAAGGAAAAAAGCAAUUUUGGAAGGUUGAAGGUAUUACUAGAUAGAGUUAAGUCUCCUAUCUAUCCUUGUAAGAGGGAAUUCUCUCUAUAAGUAAUCUACUUUCUGGUUGUUACUAGAUUUGUGAGCUAUAUAUAUAUANNNNNNNNNNNNNNNNNNNNNNNNNNNNNNNNNNNNNNNNNNNNNNNNNNNNNNNNNNNNNNNNNNNNNNNNNNNNNNNNNNNNNNNNNNNNNNNNNNNNNNNNNNNNNNNNNNNNNNNNNNNNNNNNNNNNNNNNNNNNNNNNNNNNNNNNNNNNNNNNNNNNNNNNNNNNNNNNNNNNNNNNNNNNNNNNNNNNNNNNNNNNNNNNNNNNNNNNNNNNNNNNNNNNNNNNNNNNNNNNNNNNNNNNNNNNNNNNNNNNNNNNNNNNNNNNNNNNNNNNNNNNNNNNNNNNNNNNNNNNNNNNNNNNNNNNNNNNNNNNNNNNNNNNNNNNNNNNNNNNNNNNNNNNNNNNNNNNNNNNNNNNNNNNNNNNNNNNNNNNNNNNNNNNNNNNNNNNNNNNNNNNNNNNNNNNNNNNNNNNNNNNNNNNNNNNNNNNUGUGAGAUAUAUAUAUAUAUAUAUAUAUAUAUAUAUAUAUAUAUAUAUAUAUAUAUAUAUAUAUGCAAGGGUGACGAGUGUAUAUGCAUAGCUAGGUUAUGACCAUAUCCGAUAGAGUUUGGCCUAUGAUUAUCCCUUGUUUGGACUAUGUGAAUUUACUAUCCAAAUUUCAUUAAUUCUAUGAUUACGUGAUGUCUCAUAAUUAUAAUUUAUAAGCAUGCUUAACGUUAUGACUUGUCAAAUUUCCAUAAAGUACUAUUUUGCUAUGUUGAGCUUUCUUAUUAAGUCAUAUUCAUACACCUUGUCUUAUUUGACUCAUGAUUUGGUAGUUAAAUAUCUUAAUUCACUCUUCGUAAAUACAAAGUGUAACGACCCAACCGGUCAUUUUGAGCUCUAGCGCAUCGUUCGGUAGUUUGAGGCCAUGAGCAGCUUCACUUCAGGUAGUAUGACUUGUACGCGUUAUCGGAAUUGAAUUUCGGAAGGUUCAGAGUUGAUUUGAAAAGAGAAUUCUCAUUUCGGAAACUUUAAGUUGGAAGAAUUUAUUAAUAUUCAAUUUUUUAGUAAACGACUUUAGAAUCGGGAUUUAAAGGUAUCGGCAGGUUUUUAUGAUGAUUUUGGACAUGGGCGUAUGUCCGUAUUGAGUUUUGGACGACCCAGGAGCGUUUCGGCACCUAUUGUGAAAGUUAGUAUUUUUGGAAGAAUUUUAUAAAUCCCGGUUGAAGUGAAUUUCAAUUAUAUCAAUGUCCAUUGGGACUCUAAAUUUGGGAAUAGCUCUGUAGGGUGACUCUAGUAUUAAGAGCGCGAUCAGAAGUGGAUUUGGAGAUCUGUAGGUCAUUUUGCAGUCAUUUGGCUAAAGUUAGAAAUUUGAAGGUUUUUGAAAAGUUUGAAUGGAAGUGGGAUUUUUAUACUAUGGUCGGAUUCUGAUUCCGGAAGUUGGAUUAGGUCCGCAAUAUCGAAUGUGACUUGUGUGCAAAUUUUGAGGUCAAUCGGACAUUAUUUGAGAGGUUUUCGUCAUCGAAUGUAGAAGUUUGAAGUUCUAAAUUUUAUAAAGCUCGAAUUAGGGUGUGAUUCAUGAUUUUGACGUUAUUUGAUAUGAUAUGAGGCCUCGGUCAGGUCUUCGUUAUGUUGUGGGUCUAAUUGGUAUGGUUGGUCGGGGUCGCGGGGGCCUCGAGUGGAUUCCAGAUGGUUAACGGAUCAAAUUUGGAAUUUGAAAAAUAAAUAAAGCAUCUGCCUUUGGGUGUAACCACACCUGCUAGGUUUGGGCCGCAGAAGCAGCCAUGAGGGUCGCAGAUGCUAUUGGGCUGGAAGUGCAGAGACUGUAGAUGCGGUCAUCUCACUGCAGAAGCGAGACCGCACCUGUGGAAGGAGAAGCGCAUAAGCGGAAGGGGCAGCUUGUGGAAGACCACAAAAGCAGUAGCUAGGGCCACACUUGCGGAACCGCAGAAGAGAUCAAAUGACCGCAGGUGUGAAAGUUGGGGCUGGCAGUGUGUCUCUUUAAAACAAGGGGUUUAGCUCAUUUCAACCUCAUUUCCUCCGUGGGAGCUGAUUUUUGAGCAACUUGGGAGUGCCAUUUUAACCACCAAACAUGAGGUAAAAGGUUUAUACUAAUUUGAGUUAAAUACAUCGAUUAUGUAUAUGUUUUAACAUCGAAAUUAGUAGAAAUUUGGAAUUUUGAGGAAAACCUAGAAAUUGGUAUUCUUGGGUUUUGACCACGAUUUUGGACGUAAAAUCAUGAGUAAAUUAUAUAUUUGAGUUCGUGGGGUUAUGGGUAAAGUUCAUCUUUGAAAAAUUUCAGAAUCCAGGAAUGUGGGCCCGAGGGUGAUUCUUAUUGACUUUACGAUUGGGGUUAGAAAUUGUUAUGAAUUGGAUUAUGAUGAGUUUUCGAGCGUAUAUUAAUGGCUUUGCAUAAUUAUUGGCUAGCUUUUGAGCGUUAUGCAUUGGUUUGAGUUGUCGGAAGGGAUUGGAAGCCGGUUAUGAAAUUCUAAGUGAGGUAAGUCUCCUUUCUAACCUUGUAAGAGGGAAUUAACCCCAUAGGUGAAUAAUUAAAUAUGUGCUUUUAUUUUUGGGGGAUACGUACACACGAGGUGACGAUCUUCCGUGCGUAGCUACUGCCACCUUCUUUUUCACUACACCUGCAAGGGCAUAAAGGAGCUUUUCCAAUUAAAGGACAAUCGGAAUGGAAUUUAUUAUUAAUAUUUGGAGUCUCCACUUGGGAGAUUAAUGGUGUCCCAAGUCACCGGUUGAAUCCCUAACCGAGGAAAAAUAUGACUCUGUUAACAGUCCGCAAAUAAGAAAUCUGAGUAAGGAAUUCUGUUAACCCGGUAGAAGGUGUCAGGCAUUCCCUAGUUCCAUGGUUCUAGCACCGUCGCUCAUCUAUCAUGAUUAGUUUAUUUAACUGAUUUUAUACUUGAUGAACCUAUGUGCCGAUUUUUACUUUUAACCACUUUUAUUUCAUUUUUAAGAAAGUUGAACGUCGUUUAAAAUGUGUCUUUGGAUCGCGCCACAUGAAAUGCACCCGCAAUCCUAAACACACUUUAUCCAAUAUUUUGGAAUUUGAUUUGGGUCUCAUGAAAUGCAAAGCCGAAUUUAGGAAGAUAAUUUUAUUAAAAUCAUGGUUAAAGAGGCUAACGCGUUAUUGUCUUUGGGGAAGGCCGUGAAAAUCGCUAAACGACUCAUCCCAAAUUCUAAGUAUUUUAACACAAUAUUCAUUGAGGGCCCAACAAUUUAUGUGUUUUGUUUUGCGAGGCUCGUCUCAUUUUAUUAAUUAAAGAACUAACCUAAAGAAACUAUGAUUUUCUAUAUUUUUUGUUUCUAAGAAUAAAGAAAAAGAUGCCCUAAAUAAUUGGAGUUACUCAAACAAAACAUAUUAAUAAGGACCCUUUAGCAAUUCUGGGCUCAAGUAAUAGGCCCAAUCCCUGAUGAAUUGAAACCACCCAGCGAUUUGGGCCUUGAGAACAUAUUGCCCAGCCUGAGUUCCCAUUGCAUAACGUGAGCCCAACCUUGUGCUCAGAUUGGCCCGUUAGAAAAAAUCAGGCGAGAUCAAUAGCAGUAUUGACAUAUUCAUGUUAUAAUUUAGGGUCUAAGUUUAGGUGAACACACAUGUGAUGCACUUAACAUGCUGAGUUUGAAAUUCUACACUAAUUCUAUGCUAAUAACGUUCAGCCCAGUUUUGCUUCAGUUCCUGGCUAAUAAUACUUCCUAACUGAUGUUGUAAUUGACAUUUACUAAUUAUUCACAAUUAUUCAAAUAUCCAAUUAUCAACUAAAGAUGGAAGUCCAGAAUCAAUUUCCAAACUUAUGUCUUUUAACAUAGUUAAUCAACAAACUAUUCUAGGCUAAUUAGUGAUAAGCAAAUCCAACAGUCAAAUUACACGUCUAGCUCUAAACUAACUCACAAUUACAAUUACUAAAUACAAACAAUGUGACUCCAGGAUUACACUGCCAAUUAUUAAGAUGAGUGAGGACUGUGAAUCACAAUCGCUUUAUGCUUUGACUAACUUCUGAUUUUCAAAACUUAACUACACCAAAUGAAAUUAAACUACAACAUGUUUAACAAAUGAUCAAAUUUCCCAAACAGUCCAUGAGUUUGACAGUCCAAACAAAUCUAAAUCAUUGUAAAACAAUUUUAAUUAUAGUCCAAACUACUACAAUCAACUAUGGUAAAACACGGCAAUAACUUAAGCUUCCAAUGAAGUUAUACUUCUAUUUCACUUAAUUCCAACUGGAGAGCUACAUGAUUUGAGAUUAAGGACAUGUACCUAAUAUUUAAACCACAAAACAAAGAAGAAUUGGAAGUCAGCUGAAGCAACGCACGUGUAGCAGUAGCAGUAAGUAAUUUUCAGCAGUACAGAAUAACAAACAGCCCAAAAAAUAAAUCCAGAAAUUCUAGGAAGGUUCAGAACUCAAAUAAAACCAGCUGAUUAAACCAAAACACUUGAAAUGCACUUAGUUAUACUAGAAAGGCAUUAACACACUUUCACAUAACCAAAUCUCAAUAAAACACAAUCUAAUUAGACCCAAAAAUUGCUCGAAAUCACCUAGCAACCAUUCUAAACAUCAGCAAUCAAAGAGUGAACUAGAGGAUGUGAACUAAUAAUUAAAACAUCAAUAUCAGCCUACAAUUUCCAAUGCAACAAUGAUAUUUUUUGAUUUUUGAGUUUUUGUUUGUUUUUGGUUUUUUGAAAUUUGAAUUUCUACUCCAGAUCUGAAAAUUUGAGAGAGAGAGAGAGAGAGAGUUUUUUGAAGGAAUUAGAUGGCUGAAGACUUGCUAGAGAAGGCAAGUAACUUGCCUUUUAUAGGCACACAUGAAAGCCUCAAUCAGAUUUUCUGUUUUCUUUUUUAGUCCCUCUCAUUUUCCGUUUGAGUCCUUGAUUUCUUAACUUUUCACUCAAGUAACUACCUCUAUUAUGCUGAAACUUACACUAAAGUCCAAUUCUAGAAGGUCCUAUUGUGGUCUUCUACCUAUGCAAUACCUAUACUACCCUUAUUUUUGUUUAUAAAUUACUAUUCUUAACAAAACUACCUUUUUGCAUGCCUAAACUAACCCUGAAAAUUCCCUGAAAUUACUGACCAAUCAGACUCCUUUUACCUUUGUUAAUCUUCAACUAUGGUUAACUAAAAUGAUCUAACCUAUCCAGCAAUAAGCAAAGUAAUUCCCAAAAACUAUAAUAUUGAAUCCACUGAUACUAAUUGAAACUGAAAAUGAGUCAUCACUAGACUAAUUACACUAAGCAAUCAAAGAACAAAAACUAAUACUUGAGAUAACUAAUCAAGAGGUUAAAAUAAAUUGCAAUAAACAAUUACGAAUCAAUAAUCUAACACAGAAUCAGAAUGGAUUAAUAUGACGACUAAGAACAGUAUUUCCAAGAGAACCUUAGCGAAUAAACAAAACUUGAUUAAACCCUUAACAUGGCAUUCAAAAUAAAAUAGAACUAAACUAACUAACACCCCAAAUGCAUUCAAUUAGCAAGUUUAAAUAAAACUAAACUAGAAGCUAAACCUAUGACCAUAGAAGAAUGAAAUCAAAACUAGAGAAAACUUUAUUAAAUUCAGAUUAAAGCUUACUAACAACUAAGAUAAUAUCAAAAGAAAAGAGGGAAACAAACAGACGAACUCACUGAUGAAAAUUCCCAAACUGGUGAAUUCCUAGACUUGAAAUUAGUCCACUUCCGGUGAUACUUGAAUAUCAUUUCCGCUGAACUCUUCACGAAGAAGACGGGGGAUUAUCAUAAUGUCCAUUUAUCAAAGUUUUGGGAGAUUAGGAAUUUUGUCCGAAAAUUCGAUUUAAGAUUCGAGGUGCUUCAGGCAUAUUCCAAGAAAAAUAGUCAUGGAUUUGGAUAGGGGAAGGGGAGAAUGACCUAGGGUAUUAAUCUGGGCGAGUUUGGAUGAAAUUGCGUCGUGGACGGAAAAACUUCGAUGUGAUAUUCCAAGAUUUCGGCCAAGAUUUGAAGGAAAUGGAUGAUGGAUUAAAGGAUAGGAAGAGAAGAGGAGUAUAGGGUGUUAAUUUGGUGGCAUUCGUAGGUGGACCACCGUCGUGGGCGAAUUCCGGCAGCGGCAAGCGGUGGUGUUUCACAGAGGCUAAGUACGAGGAAGAUGAAGACUGUCUUAGGGUUUUUUUCUGAAAUUCAGACAGUUUAAAUUAAAUGAGGGAGAGAAUAGGGGCCCUUGGAUUAGGUAAAAAU